Molecule: non-coding RNA, 255 nt
Organism: Vicia faba (fava bean)
Lineage: Eukaryota; Viridiplantae; Streptophyta; Magnoliopsida; Fabales; Fabaceae
Source: the annotation of a GenBank genome assembly
AUGUCCUCGAUUUCCUCCUUGAUGUGUUUCACUUCUUUGGAGGGGAUUUUGGAUCCAAACUUUAAAAGCAUUUCCUUCAUCUCGGAGGAAGAGAUCUUUUUGUAUGCGGUUUUUUUGUCGAACUUGGUUAAGAUCUACUCCACUUUUUGGUCCAUAGAAAAGUUUUUUCUUCGUCAAAAUGAGAGAGAACAAAAAUUUAUGUAUUUGUUACUACUUAUAUUUUGGAUUUAUGGUGCGUGUUGUUGUUGGUGUUAG